RNAcentral lists this ribosomal RNA (253 nucleotides) under uncultured bacterium. Its description in RNAcentral is "partial 16S ribosomal RNA". It matches the Rfam family "Bacterial small subunit ribosomal RNA", at positions 524 to 776 of the family's 1533-position model. The record is from RNAcentral.
UACGUAGGGUGCAAGCGUUGUCCGGAAUUAUUGGGCGUAAAGAGCUCGUAGGCGGUUUGUUGCGUCGGCUGUGAAAUCCCGAGGCUCAACCUCGGGUCUGCAGUCGAUACGAGCAAACUAGAGUGUUGCAGGGGAGACUGGAAUUCCUGGUGUAGCGGUGAAAUGCGCAGAUAUCAGGAGGAACACCGGUGGCGAAGGCGGGUCUCUGGGCAACAACUGACGCUGAGGCACGAAAGCUAGGGGAGCAAACAGG